This 22-nucleotide unclassified non-coding RNA is filed under the name Mus musculus (house mouse). RNAcentral describes it as "oocyte_clustered_small_RNA9365". The record is from RNAcentral. Lineage: Eukaryota; Metazoa; Chordata; Mammalia; Rodentia; Muridae.
GUGGCACCCUUCCUAUGGGUUG